CUCUUAUCGAGAGAGGUGGAGGGACUGGCCCUGUGAAACCCGGCAACCUGCCCGUUCGGGCGUAAGGUGCUAAAACCAGCGACUGUGAGGUCGAAUGAUAAGAG
Molecule: non-coding RNA, 104 nt
Filed under: Dethiosulfovibrio salsuginis
Lineage: Bacteria; Thermotogati; Synergistota; Synergistia; Synergistales; Dethiosulfovibrionaceae
Description: SAM-I sequence
Rfam family: SAM riboswitch aptamer (S box leader)
About the family: The SAM riboswitch is found upstream of a number of genes which code for proteins involved in methionine or cysteine biosynthesis in Gram-positive bacteria.
Source: RNAcentral